RNAcentral lists this ribosomal RNA (377 nucleotides) under uncultured bacterium. RNAcentral describes it as "bacterial SSU rRNA". It matches the Rfam family "Bacterial small subunit ribosomal RNA", at positions 44 to 450 of the family's 1533-position model. The record is from RNAcentral.
ACGCCUACACAUGCAAGUCGAACGAAGUAGCAAUACUUAGUGGCAGACGGGUGAGUAACAUGUAGGUAUCUGCCCUUUGGCCUGGAAUAACACGAGGAAACUUGUGCUAAUACCGAAUAAGCCUUUACAGGGAAAGUUUUAACGCCGAAAGAUGAGCCCGCACUUGAUUAGCUAGUUGGUAAGGUAAAAGCUUACCAAGGCAACGAUCAAUAGCUGUUCUUAGAGGAAGACCAGCCACAUUGGGACUGAGACACGGCCCAGACUCCUACGGGAGGCAGCAGUGGGGAAUCUUGCACAAUGGGGGAAACCCUGAUGCAGCGAUGCCGCGUGAGUGAAGAAGGCCCUUGGGUUGUAAAACUCUUUCGUCGGGGAAGAAA